This 447-nucleotide ribosomal RNA is filed under the name uncultured bacterium. RNAcentral describes it as "bacterial SSU rRNA". It matches the Rfam family "Bacterial small subunit ribosomal RNA", at positions 330 to 792 of the family's 1533-position model. The record is from RNAcentral.
UCCAGACUCCUACGGGAGGCAGCAGUGGGGAAUAUUGGGCAAUGGGCGCAAGCCUGACCCAGCAAUGCCGCGUGAAGGAAGAAGGCUUUCGGGUUGUAAACUUCUUUGACAGGGGGAGAGCAGAAGACGGUACCCUGAAAACAAGCCACGGCUAACUACGUGCCAGCAGCCGCGGUAAUACGUAGGUGGCAAGCGUUAUCCGGAUUUACUGGGUGUAAAGGGGGCGCAGACGGCGAUGCAAGCCAGGAGUGAAAGCCCGGGGCCCAACCCCGGGACUGCUCUUGGAACUGCGUGGCUGGAGUGCAGGAGGGGCAGGCGGAAUUCCUGGUGUAGCGGUGAAAUGCGUAGAUAUCAGGAGGAACACCGGUGGCGAAGGCGGCCUGCUGGACUGCAACUGACGUUGAGGCCCGAAAGCGUGGGGAGCAAACAGGAUUAGAUACCCCGGUA